GAUGAACGCUGGCGGCGUGCUUAACACAUGCAAGUCGAACGGAAAGGCUCCUGCUUGCAGGGGUACUCGAGUGGCGAACGGGUGAGUAACACGUGGGUGAUCUGCCCUGCACUUCGGGAUAAGCCUGGGAAACUGGGUCUAAUACCGGAUAGGACGAUGGUUUGGAUGCCAUUGUGGAAAGUUUUUUCGGUGUGGGAUGAGCUCGCGGCCUAUCAGCUUGUUGGUGGGGUAUUGGCCUACCAAGGCGUCGACGGGUAGCCGGCCUGAGAGGGUGUACGGCCACAUUGGGACUGAGAUACGGCCCAGACUCCUACGGGAGGCAGCAGUGGGGAAUAUUGCACAAUGGGCGCAAGCCUGAUGCAGCGACGCCGCGUGGGGGAUGACGGCCUUCGGGUUGUAAACUCCUUUCGCUAGGGACGAAGCGCAAGUGACGGUACCUGGAGAAGAAGCACCGGCUAACUACGUG
RNAcentral lists this ribosomal RNA (466 nucleotides) under uncultured bacterium. RNAcentral describes it as "partial 16S ribosomal RNA". It matches the Rfam family "Bacterial small subunit ribosomal RNA", at positions 28 to 507 of the family's 1533-position model. The record is from RNAcentral.